UUAUAUUUAAAAUAGUUAUAUAAACAUUUAAGUAUAUGAUUAAUGUUAAAAAAAAAUAUCACUAAUGUUUAAAAAUAAUAAUUUAUGUAUAAAAAAAGUAAAAAUAAACACCCGCGCGGUUGCGCGGGUCAAAAUCUAGUAUUAAUUAUUUGAGAAACAAUACAUCAUUUGAGCUACACCAUGUGUUAUGAAUAAAAGGAUUCUUUUUUUUUGUUCAACAAAUAAAAGGAUUCUUAGAAUUCUUAUAAUGUAUGUUGGUUUAUCUAAAUAUAUACUUUAUUUUUCAUUAUACUAAUUUUUUUUUGUCAGCUCAUUAUACUAAUUAUAGAAUUAUAUAUUGAUGUAUAAAAAAUAUUUUUUUCGUACUGUUUUAAGUAAAAGUUACGGAAUUGCCUAGUUUGAUUAAAAUAUAGAUGACAACUAAUGAUUUUGAAUAAUAAAUAUUUGAUAACAAUUUGUGCAUCCUCUAUAAUUUUUGUUUAAUUUUAUAUUACUUUCUUUUUAAACAACCAUAUUAACUAUAAAAUAAAUAUUAAUAAUUUCUGUAUAUCUUAUAUUUGAAUUUUAAAAACGACUAUAAAUUAACAUAACUGUUAAAAAUCUCACAUUUAAAUUUUUGUGAUCAAUGAUUAUAACAAGAUACAAAUGAUCAUAAAACCAUAUUAGUAAGAUGUCUCAUUUAAUAGAUAUGAAGUAAGAUGUCUUAUUUAAUAAAUACACAUAUCUAAAUAUAUAUAUAUCUAUUUUAACGUCCUUUAAAAUAAACUGUAUAAUAUAUAAAUACAUAAAUAUUUCAAUUUCAAUUUUACAUUGAAAAAGCAUUAUGAAUUUAAUAUCUUAAUUUCCAAAAAUUUAUUGAAUUUUUAAAUAUUAUAAAUUACUAUAACUAAUAAAAGUGUCAUAUUGAAAAUUUUAUCAUCAAUGAUUUAAAUUUUUUAUUAUAAAAGAUACAAAUGAUCAUAAAAACACAUGAAUAUCAAAUUUCAUUUAAUAAAUAGUCAUAUUAAAAAAUAUACUAUAUGUUUAUGUUAACUGUAGCCAAAGUGUAGUUUUCAUUUCUAUAGAUUGAGAUAUUAGUUGUUGAACAAAAAAGGAUUUAGAUAUUAAUAUAUUAAUAACGAUAUAUGAACCACCAUCUUAAUUAUUAGAAGAGUACUUUUCUGACAUAUGACGUCAUUUAAACAUAUUGCUUGAUAAGGGUGAGAUGAAUCUAGAUAUCUGAAAAAUUGAAGAUAUUCGGAUUCGAAUUAGUUGGAUCCGUGAUUUAAGUAUUUAUAUUCAGAUUUAUGCCUUUUAGAUAUCUGAAUUUCGGAUAUAUGUCUAGAUAUUGUAACGCUAGUGAGUAUAUCUAUAUCGAUUUGGAUUCGAAUCAGUAAAAAAUAAAUGUUUCUUUUUAAAUACUAAAAUUCUAAAAUUAGUACAUAAAUUAAAUAUUUAUACGAUAUAUAUAAUAUUUAAAAUGUUAAUAUAAUAUUAAAACUAUUUUAAUGUAUAAAUAUUAAUAUAUCGAAUAUAAGUAUUAAUAAAAUUAGUAUAUAUAUAUAUUUAUAAAUCUGGAUAUUGAUAUUUAAAAAUCAAGAUAUCCGGAUCUGAUUUUGACGAAUCUGUCAUUUUAUUAUCUAGAUCGAAUCGAGAUAUUUCGAAUAUUCUAUUUUCGAAGCGAAUAUAUAAUAAUUCAGUCCUAAUGCUCGAUGAAUUCGGCACCAGUGUUAAUAGUUAAUACUAUUAAUUGUUGGUAAUGCGCUAUGAAAAUCUCAUUGAAUAUUCAACCACUGGAGAGAAGAAACUAAAGUCAAAAGAUGUCUUGAUUAGAGAUAACUAACUGGCAUGAAAGAACGUUACGUAUGAAAUUAUUAUUAGUUUGAUUUUACUAAAUACAUCAAAGUGCUGCUUUAUGUAUCUCCACCUCUAAUUAGUCUUUUUAUGGAUUACAUAUUGUCGGCUUAAAGGUUUGGUAAAAAAAAUAGAGAGGAGUAAAAAAAAGUUUAGUGCGUUGUACCCGACCGACGUCGGUUGGCUUCCUCAUUCCUCAGCCACGGCGUCGGUUAGAAUUUUUAUAUUGUUUUCUCAAUUGUUUCCUUUCUAGGUUGUAUAUUGGUUUCGAGUUUACUCUAGUUUUGAUCAUCUCGGUCUGCUUGCAUGCAAGUAUAUUCGGCUUGUCUCGAAGGAUUUGGAGCUUCGGCUCUCUUCUCAUCAAGCCAUAAGAAGCGUAUGGUAAACCGUUCUCUUCCCUCUCGUAUUCUAGGAUGGUAUCAAGUUGUCUUACGUACUCUGGCUCCUGAAUGGUAUGAAGUGGUGUGUGUUGGAGCAUCUAAUAAAAAGUGUGGCUUGGUCGUCCUUAACAAAGAUCGAUCUCUGAUGGUUCUGUUCUUCUUCUCCAUCUAUGCUCGAGCUAGCUUCGUUGUUCAGUGUUUGUUCUGUUAUGACCUUGAUUAGAUAUUUGUAAAAUCUUAGCUUCUAGCUAGUGUUUGUUUUGUUUCCGGGGAUGGGCUGUUAUCCUCCGGCUUAAAUCUUCAGGGAUUGCUUUCUCAUCCGAUGGCUCUAUUUGCGGGAGAUUUGUUUCUCGCCGGCUUUGUGUAUCAAAUCAGUUGUAAUGUUCACUGUUAAUCUA
Long non-coding RNA from Brassica rapa (field mustard), 2611 nucleotides. RefSeq lists it as uncharacterized. NCBI's taxonomy places the organism in Eukaryota, Viridiplantae, Streptophyta, Magnoliopsida, Brassicales, Brassicaceae. The record is from RefSeq and is a predicted model, not a curated record.